This 55-nucleotide transfer RNA is filed under the name Asterella palmeri. Its description in RNAcentral is "tRNA-His". Lineage: Eukaryota; Viridiplantae; Streptophyta; Marchantiopsida; Marchantiales; Aytoniaceae. The record is from RNAcentral.
GGGCGGACGUAGCCAAGUGGAUUAGCAGUGGAUUGUGGAUCUCUACGCGCUGGUU